RNAcentral lists this ribosomal RNA (301 nucleotides) under uncultured bacterium. RNAcentral's name for it is "partial 16S ribosomal RNA". It matches the Rfam family "Bacterial small subunit ribosomal RNA", at positions 509 to 807 of the family's 1533-position model. The record is from RNAcentral.
CAGCAGCCACGGUAAAACAGAGGGUGCGAGCGUUAAUCGGAUUUACUGGGCGUAAAGCGUGCGUAGGCGGCUUUUUAAGUCGGAUGUGAAAUCCCUGAGCUUAACUUAGGAAUUGCAUUCGAUACUGGGAAGCUAGAGUAUGGGAGAGGAUGGUAGAAUUCCAGGUGUAGCGGUGAAAUGCGUAGAGAUCUGGAGGAAUACCGAUGGCGAAGGCAGCCAUCUGGCCUAAUACUGACGCUGAGGUACGAAAGCAUGGGGAGCAAACAGGAUUAGAUACCCGAGUAGUCCCUGUCUCUUAUAC